This 28-nucleotide non-coding RNA is filed under the name Mus musculus (house mouse). Lineage: Eukaryota; Metazoa; Chordata; Mammalia; Rodentia; Muridae. The record is from RNAcentral.
UUUCAUUAUAUUGUUUGGAUACUACUUU